GAGAUCGUGCUUCACAGGAUUAUUUCCAUAGUACAAUCGCUGAGAUGCAUCCGCGAUCUAGAAGCACACUCGACCACGAUGAUGAGUUGAGGGUCUCCGCCUGGGCAUAGAGCCAGCUUCGGGACUCUGGGUUUCGAACCGGGUGCCCGCCAUUGAUGACCGUUCCCUCGGCCCUCGUGGCUGAAGGGAGGGCGGAGACUCGGUCUGAGUGGC
Molecule: small nucleolar RNA, 213 nt
Organism: Dermacentor silvarum
Lineage: Eukaryota; Metazoa; Arthropoda; Arachnida; Ixodida; Ixodidae
Product: small nucleolar RNA U3
Exons: 1
Source: RefSeq, a predicted model, not a curated record